RNAcentral lists this microRNA precursor (142 nucleotides) under Lotus japonicus. RNAcentral's name for it is "miR5287b stem-loop (lja-MIR5287b)". Lineage: Eukaryota; Viridiplantae; Streptophyta; Magnoliopsida; Fabales; Fabaceae. The record is from miRBase by way of RNAcentral.
AGAUUACACUCUCCAAUCACAUAUAUAAAUAAAAAAACAUAUUCUAAGUUCAUUCAUUUAAUGCAUGUACCUAGUUAAUUAAAUGAAUGAAUCUAAAACGUAUUUUUUUGCUUAUAUAUGUGAUCGGAGGGUGUAUGAAUCU